CACAGAUGGUGACGGUGUGGAGAGACGGUGGUGUUUCCUCAGAAGAACUAGCAGAGUCAGAAAGGGCACGAGUCCAUCUCACCACCUUGACUUACUGACUGAUGCUCGUCUGCACUGCACAGAGGAAAUCAACUGACCGAGGAGUGUUUCUGAGUGAGGGAGAGAGGAGUCAUCAUCCAGGUAAAGUGACGUGGAUCAGUGGAUACACUUGUCUCCCCUUUAAAGAAGAUACUCUUAGAGAGAGACAAUCUGAGUCAUCAUAAAAUGUUAGUGCUUUCAAAUACACAAACAUUUUUAAAGGACAAAAUCGAACAUCCCACUUUGACUGUAAUACAAUUAAAUCUUUGCAUGUGUGUUUUCAAACUCUCAGAUGGGAAGGAUAUCAAUCUUGGACUGUCUAACCUGCCGGAGCAGCACUGAAUGAUCACCACACAUGAGCAUGUUCCUGCAACAUUCAGCAUCUGAUCUGCCAUCUGUGUGCUUCUGCUUUUGUGUCAAAUGUCAACCAGCUGGAGAGGAAACUACACCAGUGUACUGGGAUGUUUCAGCAACACGUGCCAGAUGCUGUUCCUUCAUGGUGACAUCACCAGAGACAGCCCCGCCCACCUCAGGACCUCGCCAUUGAUCAUGAUGAUUAUAAUGAUGACAGCGAGCGGAACUAAGACUGUAAAAAUCAGAAUGUUUAGAUGCUUUCUAAUUAUUAAUGAAUACUGAGAGCCUCUUUCUGUGUUUUGUCUGUUUUGGGUUGUUUUUUUUACCUCAUUUGUUACUAACAAAGUUCACCAAACUCACACAGUUUACAUUCUGUAUGUUUCCAUCUUUACCAGCCACACUCUAACUGCAAUUAAGCAAAUAAUCCUUAGAAAUCGUCGUUUUUCUCUUUUGUAAUUUUGUAAUUCAGUGAAUAUACUGCACUGCUUCCUUUUAUUGCGUCACACAUUGCUUUAAGUUUUUCAGUGUCCAGUUAUUUUUUUACUGCUGUUUGAAUUCUCUGUAUGUUUGACCCUGUAGACUGUUUAAUGGACUGCUUGUCUUCCUGUUUGUAACCGCUGCCUGUUUUUGACUAAAGAUUUGGAUUUCUGACUUUAA
Long non-coding RNA from Oreochromis niloticus (Nile tilapia), 1089 nucleotides. RefSeq lists it as uncharacterized. The transcript has 3 exons. The record is from RefSeq and is a predicted model, not a curated record. Lineage: Eukaryota; Metazoa; Chordata; Actinopteri; Cichliformes; Cichlidae.